Molecule: non-coding RNA, 470 nt
Organism: Paramuricea clavata
Lineage: Eukaryota; Metazoa; Cnidaria; Anthozoa; Malacalcyonacea; Plexauridae
Source: the annotation of a GenBank genome assembly
AGUGACGUCUUUGCAAACAGAUUUUGAUUUUUGCACAGUAAUCCCAUAACAAGGAUUAAUAUAGUAGACAAAGAAACCACCUGGAGCAGUAUAGCUAGAUGUGUGAAAAAGAAUAGAAACAUAUUGUUAUACCAGCUGACAAUUUAAAAAAAGUAUAAAACACAUUUCAAUCUCCCAAAGUAUCACCUUUAGAUUGACGGGCAGAAUUGGGUAGUCUACACCCAAGAGGCGGUCACCCCCUGGAAAACAUUCAACAGUCUUUCAGGGGGGUGAAUGCCUCUCGUUAGCGCACUGGAUAGGAACAUGGGAACUGCAUGCAGUUGGUGGCCGGUUACGGUUUAUCGUUCGAGUUAGACCUCUGUGUAUUCAAGAUUCUUUAAUGGCACUAUUUCAUUAGAAUGAAUUAAAAGCAAUUUUGGAAUAAGAGAUAGAACGAAAAGAAAAAGGAAGAUAAAAUCAAUAAAGUGGUA